CAUAGGUUAAUGAGGCGAACCGGGGGAACUGAAACAUCUAAGUACCCCGAGGAAAAGAAAUCAACCGAGAUUCCCCCAGUAGCGGCGAGCGAACGGGGAGGAGCCCAGAGCCUGAAUCAGCAUGUGUGUUAGUGGAAGCGUCUGGAAAGGCGCGCGAUACAGGGUGACAGCCCCGUACACAAAAGCGCAUGUGCUGUGAGCUCGAUGAGUAGGGCGGGACACGUGGUAUCCUGUCUGAAUAUGGGGGGACCAUCCUCCAAGGCUAAAUACUCCUGACUGACCGAUAGUGAACCAGUACCGUGAGGGAAAGGCGAAAAGAACCCCGGCGAGGGGAGUGAAAAAGAACCUGAAACCGUGUACGUACAAGCAGUGGGAGCACAGGUUUACCUGUGUGACUGCGUACCUUUUGUAUAAUGGGUCAGCGACUUAUAUUCUGUAGCA
Molecule: ribosomal RNA, 441 nt
Filed under: Salmonella enterica subsp. enterica serovar Corvallis
Lineage: Bacteria; Pseudomonadati; Pseudomonadota; Gammaproteobacteria; Enterobacterales; Enterobacteriaceae
Description: partial 23S ribosomal RNA
Rfam family: Bacterial large subunit ribosomal RNA
Source: RNAcentral